Molecule: ribosomal RNA, 429 nt
Filed under: Gemmatimonadota bacterium
Lineage: Bacteria; Pseudomonadati; Gemmatimonadota
Description: Gemmatimonadetes bacterium partial 16S ribosomal RNA
Rfam family: Bacterial small subunit ribosomal RNA
Source: RNAcentral
UAGGGAAUCUUCGGCAAUGGACGAAAGUCUGACCGAGCAACGCCGCGUGCGUGAAGAAGGCUUUCGGUUCGUAAAACUCUGUUGCUAGAGAAGAACAAGGACGUUAGUAACUGAACGUCCCCUGACGGUAUCUAACCAGAAAGCCACGGCUAACUACGUGCCAGCAGCCGCGGUAAUACGUAGGUGGCAAGCGUUGUCCGGAUUUAUUGGGCGUAAAGCGAGCGCAGGCGGUUUCUUAAGUCUGAUGUGAAAGCCCCGGGCUCAACCGGAGAGGGUCAUUGGAAACUGAGGGACUUGAGUGCAGAAGAGGAGAGUGGAAUUCCGUGUGUGGCGGUGAAAUGCAUAGAUAUAUGGGGGAACACCAGUGGCGAAGGCAGCUCUCUGGACUGUAACUGACGCUGAGGCUCGAAAGCGUGGGGAGCAAACAGG